Molecule: ribosomal RNA, 275 nt
Filed under: uncultured bacterium
Lineage: Bacteria
Description: partial 16S ribosomal RNA
Rfam family: Bacterial small subunit ribosomal RNA
Source: RNAcentral
UACGGGGGGGGCAAGCGUUGUCCGGAAUCAUUGGGCGUAAAGCGCGUGUAGGCGGUUCGGUAAGUCUGCUGUGAAGGUCCAGGGCUCAACCCUGGGAUGCCGGUGGAUACUGUCGAACUAGAGUACGGAAGAGGCGAGUGGAAUUCCCGGUGUAGCGGUGAAAUGCGCAGAUAUCGGGAGGACACCAAUUGCGAAGGCAGCUCGCUGGGACGUCACUGACGCUGAGACGCGAAAGCGUGGGAGCAACAGGAUAAGAUGACCCCGAGAGUACCCGA